Molecule: ribosomal RNA, 497 nt
Filed under: uncultured bacterium
Lineage: Bacteria
Description: partial 16S ribosomal RNA
Rfam family: Bacterial small subunit ribosomal RNA
Source: RNAcentral
GAUGAACGCUGGCGGCGUGCCUAAUACAUGCGAGUCGAGCGAACGGACGAGAAGCUUGCUUCUCUGAUGUUAGCGGCGGACGGGUGAGUAACACGUGGAUAACCUACCUAUAAGACUGGGAUAACUUCGGGAAACCGGAGCUAAUACCGGAUGAUAUUUUGAACCGCAUGGUUCAAAAGUGAAAGACGGUCUUGCUGUCACUUAUAUAUGGAUCCGCGCUGCAUUAGCUAGUUGGUAAGGUAACGGCUUACCAAGGCAACGAUGCAUAGCCGACCUGAGAUGGUGAUCGGCCACACUGGAACUGAGACACGGUCCAGACUCCUACGGGAGGCAGCAGUAGGGAAUCUUCCGCAAUGGGCGAAAGCCUGACGGAGCAACGCCGCGUGAGUGAUGAAGGUCUUCGGAUCGUAAAACUCUGUUAUUAGGGAAGAACAUAUGUGUAAGUAACUGUGCACAUCUUGACGGUACCUAAUCAGAAAGCCACGGCUAACUACGUG